This 1262-nucleotide long non-coding RNA is filed under the name Mytilus galloprovincialis (Mediterranean mussel). The record is from RNAcentral. Lineage: Eukaryota; Metazoa; Mollusca; Bivalvia; Mytilida; Mytilidae.
CACUAAAUAACACGUGUAUCGGUUUUUUUAUAAGUGUGCAUCACAUUUUGCAUUUUACUUCGAAUAGAUAGAAAAAAUGUUACAGUCAUUCUUUAAAAUUUAAUUUUAAUCCAUUCUUUAAUGAGUAAAUCAUAAAGACAAGGUUUAUGACGUCACAGUCAUUUGACAAAAUUAUGUGUAUGAACUCAUAGACAAAACACUUUCACCCAAUUAGAAGUCGCAUUACAUCAAAAAUUGAACUAUUUUUGGAUAGUAUCGGUCCUCCAACAUAAAACUUACUCUCAUGUGAUGAUUUGUUAUACAAUAACCCCUUGAAAUUCAGUCUGUUAUAGGAAGUAUAUUUGGUAUAACGGGUCAACAUUAUUGGUUCGGUCUUGCUGCUGACGAAGUUUUCUAAUAUUUGUUCCUCCUUUUUAUGUAAUACACAUAUGUAAUAGUAUUUCAAAAAUAAGAGCUGUAAUAGGAAUAUAAGUGAAUACCUCUUUGUCAAGGUCAAUACAUUUAAGUUGUGCUUGCUUCAACAGACCAGGAGAAUGUACGAUAUGAAAAAUAUGAUUUACUGAUGCAAAACUGCUUUAUUUUACUUUUGAAACCGUGAAAAUAAUUGACAAUAUCAGUCAAGUGAUUGUAUUAUUAUUUUUUUUUUCAUUUUUAAAUUUAACUUUAUAAUAUAUGUACAAUCGCGUGUUCAGUAUGCACAGAUUAAUUGACAAUAUCUUUGUUUAGCUAUGAACGCUCCUUUUGAAACUUGAUGAAACGAAGCAUUGCAUGUACAUAAAACAAUCUGACUUAAAGAUAUGUUACAGUAUCCUGAUUAAAAUGAAGAUAAUAAAAACAAUUGUAAUUAUUCAACAUAUCUAAAAAUAUCAAAUAAAUUUCUUGAAUAGAUUUGAAACAUGUUGAAUGCACCGACCGAUUAUAAUUUACAUUCGUGUUUUAUUUUACACGAUGUGUUGAUUAGUAGGGGUUAGGAAAUAAGGUAAUAAGCCAUCACGAAUGGUUAAUCAUAUCAGUGUCUCGGUUUCUCAAUAUACAAUAAACAAUUCACUAUCUUCAUAUGGCAUCAUUUGUAUUUUUCAGUGUUCUUAGUUGAAGGUCAACUUUAAAUAGUUAGGUAAUAAAAUAUUGCAGGCUACAAUUUUUUCACAAAAACAAAAUGAAAAAACCCUAAAAAUCCAGCAAGAAUGACAUGAAAAAAAAAGAAAGAAAAAAAAGAAAACACCAAAUAAAUAACAAAAAUAACGUAUAAAUGUCUUACACCA